RNAcentral lists this ribosomal RNA (301 nucleotides) under uncultured bacterium. RNAcentral's name for it is "partial 16S ribosomal RNA". It matches the Rfam family "Bacterial small subunit ribosomal RNA", at positions 509 to 807 of the family's 1533-position model. The record is from RNAcentral.
CAGCAGCCGCGGGAAUACAGAGGGUGCGAGCGUUAAUCGGAUUUACUGGGCGUAAAGCGUGCGUAGGCGGCUUCUUAAGUCGGAUGUGAAAUCCCUGAGCUUAACUUAGGAAUUGCAUUCGAUACUGGGAAGCUAGAGUAUGGGAGAGGAUGGUAGAAUUCCAGGUGUAGCGGUGAAAUGCGUAGAGAUCUGGAGGAAUACCGAUGGCGAAGGCAGCCAUCUGGCCUAAUACUGACGCUGAGGUACGAAAGCGUGGGUAGCGAACAGGAUUAGAUACCCCCGUAGUCCCUGUCUCUUAUAC